UACGAGGGGUGCAAGCGUUGCUCGGAAUUAUUGGGCGUAAAGGGUAGGUAGGUGGUCUCAUUUGUCUGGGGUGAAAGCCUUGAGCUUAACUCAAGAAGUGCCCCGGAAAUGGUGAGACUGGAGUCCUGGAGAGGGUCGUGGAAUUCCCGGUGUAGCGGUGAAAUGCGUAGAGAUCCGGAGGAACACCAAAGGCGAAGGCAGUGUCCUGGGGAGUACCUGACGCUCAGGUGCGAAAGCCAGGGGAGCGAACGGG
RNAcentral lists this ribosomal RNA (253 nucleotides) under uncultured bacterium. Its description in RNAcentral is "partial 16S ribosomal RNA". It matches the Rfam family "Bacterial small subunit ribosomal RNA", at positions 524 to 776 of the family's 1533-position model. The record is from RNAcentral.